Biomphalaria glabrata is the source of this 2186-nucleotide long non-coding RNA. RefSeq lists it as uncharacterized. The transcript is spliced from 2 exons. NCBI's taxonomy places the organism in Eukaryota, Metazoa, Mollusca, Gastropoda, Planorbidae. The record is from RefSeq and is a predicted model, not a curated record.
AAAAAAAAAAGAAGAGUAAAAUAACUGGUCCUACCUCUUCGUGUACUUGACGGCCUAGAUCCACCUAGUCCAUUCCCAGGCCUACCAAUCCAGUUUCUGAAGAAAACCAAAACAAAAGAAUCUAUAAAAAUAACUUCCAUAAAGCGUAAAGCCGUUAGACGAGUAUUGCUUUUUAGGAUUGAAUUAUUUGUUUCUGUUCUAAACCAGAUGGAUAUUUGAGAAAAAGGACACGUGAAAGAUGGUUCCCUGACAAGUUCAGCACUCUGAAGCCUCACUUCGGACUUCUGAGGCUUCCAAUUGUUGUGUACGUUCACUGGUUACUGUUCCAAGUUCUGACCACAGUCCAAAAAGGGAAUGUUUAUAAUUGUGACCAAUUUCAAAGGACUACCACAGGCAGUAGUUCAACUUAGCGAUUACUGAAUCUAGAAGUCAAGAACUGAAAAUAACUAUUGUUUUGGAAUUGCAAGAACAAUUUGGUUUUAUACUUAUGUAAUAAAUUUAAGAAAAAAAAAUGUGCUGUGUUGUCCACUUCAGUCCCUAAGUUCACUCCUGUUUUCUUUUACAGCUCACCUCAUUAAGAAAACAUGUUUAUCUACUUUAUAAAUUAAAAGUAGCAAAUGUCGUGGUAGCCAUACUCCAAAAGAAGGAGAACCCAACUAGUUGUCCUGUAGUGGUAUCAAGGGAAAUCAGUAUCAUGUUGUACAACUAGCUUAUAUGUCUUUAAAACAUGUUUAAUUUCUUUCAAGAGUUAAUGCAAUGACACAUUCACAAUUAAAACACAUCCCAAGACCCCAACUUCCAUAGACAUGAGUCUGGUCACAUUAUACUAUGUGUACAAGGGAUUAUAAUAAUCAUUUUCAUACAUAUCUGUCGUCACAUAGUAGGUUAGCCUUAAGGGUACCCAUUUGAGAACUUGCAGUCAGUAGGGCAGGUGACGUAGUGAAGUGUGUCAUGUGGCCAGCACAACAAUCAACCGCCUUUAGUAUCUCAUUCAUAUCACAUAAGCAUAACAUAUAUAUAUGCAUGUAUCUGUGUAAUACAUAUAGAACUAACCCAAACUUUUUUAUUAAUUAUUUUCUUGAUUAAAAUUUGGUCGAUAAAAAUUUAUUCAAUUUGAUUUGAAAAGGCCUACGUUGAUUUAACCUCGCUUCUAGUAUUAGUUAUCUCUGUGUCUGACGUCUCACAUAUAGACGUCACUAGAGAACCCUCUCUUGAUUCUGUUCGGACAUAGUGCUAAUACUUGACAAGAAGACGCUCAUUGGAGCAGAACUGUUACUUCCCAUAACUUCGUUUGAUAAAGGAAUGUUAAGUGGCAGUAUUUAGCCCUGGAGCUAGAAAUGGCAGAAUUUAGCCUUAGUAGCUAGAAAUGGCAGAAUUUAGCCUUGGUAGCUAGAAGAGUGCUUUCCCUCUAACGUGUAAAUAGGAGCUGGGGAAAAAAUAGCAAUAAACAGUUUAUUAAAAUUGUCUCACAGUUUUUACAAAGAAACUUUACAAGAUUUAAAUCUAUAUAAUGUACUUACUAUACCGAGCAGCUUAUGUAGAAACAAUAAGAGAAGGUUACGUCUUGCCUAACUUGGGUUUAUUAGAAUUGUCCAAUAGUGUCUUUGGUGCUCAGUGGCUCAGUGGCGCUUUGCUUCCUAACAGAGGAGUUACAAGUUUGAAUCCCUAUUAUUUUGAACUGCGUCAUUUUUAGGAUGGCCUUGAGUCCAUCCAAUUCUAACUCUCGACAUUAGAGAAGUAACAGCGUUUUGUCGUUGUGCUGGCCACGUAAUACCCUCUUAAUAGUCAAUCCUAAAAAUAGAUGAACUUUACAUCAUCCACUGCUAGAGAUCGCAAUGUAUGAAAGAAGUACUUUGACUUGUAUCUUUAUUCCUAUGUCCCUUUGUUCCUAAAUAUCUCAAAUUAAUUUUUAGCUUAUCACAAGAAGAAAAUACUAUAUAAAUUGGCUAAAAUAAAUUUUAUUGAAAAAAAAAAUGUUUUAAAAUUAUGAAUAACACAAUGAAAUCAGUGGCGUACCAACCAUGUCAUUGCGCCCAUGCCAUCGAGUAAUAAGGACCCACAGGGACAAUUGAAAGGGAGAUGAUUACUUUGACCAGGCAUUAAGUGUCAUUGCACUAUUACUUGUAAAAAGUGGUACAUGGAUUGGAAAGUAUUUGUGUAAAUGUACUGAUAUAUAGACAAAACAA